GCCUGAACUUGGCAUUCCCCCGCAAGCCAGGAAGGAGGCAGGAUGGAAGAGUUCUCUGCAGCAGACUCUCUGCCCAGCCCAUCCAACACAGCUUUUGCAAGUACAGUGAAUACAUCAGACAGAAAUGAUUAACUGGAUGUUAGUGGACCUAGCUGCCAUGGAAGGAGUAGUAUAUAAAAAUCAAGCGAUGGAAGAGAACUACAAAGAAAUAUGGAUAUACAGUUUGUGGGAAUAUGCUGAGCACAGAAAGAAGACUUUACUGAGCAUUAUCAGCAAUAUUUGAUGAAAGCCAACAAGAUAGAAACAACCUGCAAGACACUUCCAAAAGAACCUUGUUCGAAAGUCUAUGUUGUGCUUGGCUACAUCUGGCAGUGAGUUAAAAGUAUGUGCUGGAGUGUCACAGCACCACAGUACUUUGUUAGCUUUGAACCCAGAACUGCUUUGAACCCAGAACUGAAAAAUAUUCCUAGUAGAAAUUGUAUUCCAAGAAAACCCAAACUAAGGAAUCCUGUUGAUGAAGAUAAAUGUGCUUGCUUAGAGAGGAAAGGAAAGAAAUUGCUGGAGAAACACCAAUUGCUUUAUCAAGAGAAAAGCAUUCCAGUUACGCAUUCUAAAAAGUGUGUAAGGAUAAAGAAAGGCAUAUUCAACUUCUCACCAAUUCCAUCCCCAGAAUCUAUAUUGGAAUGUGUUAAAGGGAGACCUGAUGUGUGAGCACUGUAAGAUAUUCCCCUCAGGGGAUGGAGCCGCUCUGGGAAGAGCAGAAGGUUUCAAGUUCCCUCCCUGGCUUCAAGAUAGGGCUGAGAGAGAUUCCUGCCAUGCCUACAACCCUGGAGAAGCCACUGCCAGUCUGUGAAGACGUUACUGAGCUAGAUGGACCAAUGGUCUGACUCAGUAUAUGGCAGUUUCCUAUGUUUCCUAAAGAAUGUGGCGGUGGUGGUGAAAUGUUCGGCAGUGCUUAGUUUCGCUUCUGUAGUGUCCUAGAGGGCAAAGCAGGAAGAAGGAUCUCAAGUUCUGGACAGUCAGUGUGACAGAGUACUGGAUUGGCAUCAGGGAGACCUGGGUUCAAAUACCUUCUCAGCCAUGAAACUCAUUGGGUGACUUUGGCCAUGUCACUAGCUCUCAGCUUAACCUACCUCCUUAGGUUGUUGUGUGAGUACCAUGGGCAAUAUCCAUAUGAUACAUCAUUUCAAUGUAUCAUCAUGAGUUUCUUGGAGGAAGGGAAACAGAAAUAUAAUAGAUUUUAAAAAUUCUGAACUACUUGGAUGCUAAAGGGGCAUGAGAAGAAGAAGAAGAAGGAAGGGAAGAAUGAGGAGGCAACUUUGAAGGGAGACAGGCCAAGGGAUGGAAGGGGCUGGGAAACUAAACACAUGAGACAUUUCAGAGAAAUUAAGUGCAGACAUAUAGUAUAUCCUGAAGGGUGUAUAUGUCUUUGAGUACAAAUGCCUUGUGUUGAUUGUGCUGAGAAUCCAUGGAUCAACCAAGAUUCACCCACCCCAUCAGUGCUUGGCGCUUUGGCACUUAAGGCAUUCAUUGGAUAGGUAUAACCCAGCUCCCUUCCUCUUCUUUGAAUUUAAGUUCCCCCUAAGCUUAGAGCAGCAGUGAAAACUGCAAGCAGAAUGCCUCUCCAGUGUCUAAACCCUGGAAGAGAGUUAAGGCCUGUCCAAACAUGCAUUGCUAUUGAUGGCUGCAACAUCAAGUGAUGACUUACAUUUAUGUAUCAGGCAAUCACAGAUGUAAUGAGUUGGAUGGAGUAAUCAUUUCACCUUCACAUCACCUCAGACACUUCAGGCUUUUUUAGUUGAGUCAGUUCACAUAUUUGUCAAGUGUAGAGGAAUGACGUGAUGUGCAUGCAUGUGUGAAGCAGUGCUUAGACAUCUCUUUCUUGACUUGAGGGGGGGCCUUGCUAUGACAUGACUGGAUAGCAGCUGAUCUAAAUGAUUACACUGGCUGACAUGAUGUGCAACAAUACAUUGACUUAAGAAGGGCUACAAGUCCACAGGGAGCCUCUAGCGGCCCUGUGGUAAUGGUCCGUUGCACAGCCAAAUGAUUUUUGCUCUCCUCCCCUCCCUUCAAAAGCAUAAAUAUGUUAUUGAGGGUUGUGCAAUGGAAAGGGUUUUUUGGAGGAAUGGAAGAGGAGCAAAAAACACUUCCCCCUCUGCACCCUCUCGGCUGUGCAAUGGGCCGUCACUGCAGCAACACUAGGGGCUGCCUGUAGACCCACUGCCCUUCUUAAACCAAGGCACUACUGCACAUCAUGUUGGCCACCAUCUCUUAUUACUAACUAGGAAAAUGCACAUUAAAACGCACUAGCAUGCUGCGGGAACCUAUGGGGAGAUGACACAGUCCAUAUAUAGCUCCAUAUGGCAUCUCUGACUGGAAGCCUAGCCACUCAAUGUCAGGGUAGGUUUGGAGAACAGAUAUUACUGCUGCCAUAAGGUCCUCAAAUGUAUGGAUGGAUGUUUUGUCAUACAUGCAUACAUUUGCAUAUGAAUAAAGCAAUAAUUGGUGGGUAAUCUACCAUCUACUGCUUUUUGUAAGUACAUAUGUUAGAAAUAAUUCAUAUUUCAAAUGUGUUAGCUGAUUAACUGGGGAACCUUUGUAGUUGAUAAAAAUGACUUUAAUCAAUUACUGUACCUGAUGAAUGCCUUCUCAGAAGUAAGCCCCACUGUGUUCAAUGGGCCUUACUUCCAGGCAAGUAACUGUGUGUGUAUAGUCUAUAUAAUAGCAUUGCUUUUUAAAUUUUCAGAAUGCUUCACAAACAUUUUUUCCAGUAACACUUACAAGAACCUGUAAGAUAGAUCAUUAUUCAUCAUCAUCAUCAUCAUCAUCACCAUCACCAUCAACAGCAAUGUCAUCAUCAUCAUCAUCAAACUGAAGAAUCAGGGAGGCAGGGUCCAAGGCUGAGAAAAAUUAUGGCUUGCCUAAGGCCAUCUAGUGAGUGCAUGGCUGAGCAGAGAUUUGAACCUGACUUCCUGGUUCAGGGCUCAUAGUCAUGCAGCUCAACCUGAGCACAUUUACUCAAAAUCCCAACAAAAUCCAAAGUGGUAUUUACUUCCCAGGAAACAUGGUCAGGAUUGCUGCCUCAGCCACCACACUUAUUUAAACUACAGCACUUUCUUGUCAAGGAACCUCACUGAGGCAAAGAGCGUCAAAAAGUGAUGCAGUCUUUAAUAGCUACACACCUUGGGAAUGGCAGGUACAUAUCACAUAUUAAAGUGACAUUACUUUAAAAGCAGAUCAGUGAGGUGUCAAUGAAUCCCCUAAAUCUGUUGUAUUUGAAACAAAGAUGACAACAGGUUGGCAGGUCAUACACGAGAAAGAAGCUGCUUUCUCUUCCAACCGGUGUAUAAAAUUGCAGGAGAAAAUUUAGCAUGAGAGGUUAGUCUGUCUGCAACAAUAAGAUGGAAACUAUGGCUACCGGCUGGAUGUUCUAGGCCCAUUUGCUAUUUGUAUAUAUGGUCUUUGGAGCACAUGCAUCUGCAUUAGGUAGGCAUCCAAAUUGUUAAACAUCCAGGAAUACAAACACAAAAUGGAGAAAGAGACAUAUGAGCUAGACUGCACAACAUGGGAAUCCCAGAUCAAAGGGCUGGUAUAAAGAGUUGGCUAACUUGGACAUUGGCCAAGGGCCCAGGACCAAUCCCUGAGCCCCUGAUGGGAAAAAAAAGUGCUAUCUGUGUGGCCAGGAAGAAAAAUGCCAAGCCUUUUUUGCUACAACCAAGGCAAGCCUACCAAAAUUGCUACGACCAAGGCAAGCCUACCAAAAAUCCUUGUAGGGGCUUACUUCAUGGAAGUGGUGGCAACAACUCAGAGAACUAUUUUAGCAUCUAUACUGGUGACUAUCAUUUUUCAUAAUCUAUAAAGCAAUGCUGUUGUAUCCAGUGAUGCCAUAGUGGGACACUGCAGUAUGGUGGGGAAAGAAAGCAGCCACCAGCAUGGCUUCCCCGCCACACCACCAAGGGGGCCCUUAGGCACUUGACCAAGCGCCUUCAUGAACCCGGCACUGAAUCUGAGGAUGGAUUAGGAUGUUACAAUGAUGGACGUUUGACCUUUUCUCCAUAUGCCACUUCAACAACUUAAAUCCCUACCCCUCAAAACUGCUAUUAGUUGUGGAAGGCUGAAAAGACUGGUAGCCAUAUUAUAUCUGUCUUUUUAGCCAACUAAAAGGACAGAUAUAAGCUUAUGAGAUCACCUGGAAAGUAAGCUUAUGAGAUCACCUGGCAUUCUGUCUGUGUGUGUGUGUGUGUGUGUGUGUGUGUGUCCCUGCUAUCAACUUCACAAUGCCUGGAACAAUAUGAAUUAAAUUGGGUACAGUUGUAGGGACACACGGGACAUCCACCCCCAAUUCAAGAUGGCAAAUGUUUUAAUGUUUGAGGCACAAGAGGGCUAACUUGUGAACCGCCUAAUCGAUUUGAAUCAAAUUUGCUACAGCUGUAGUGAGUGACACAUAGGAACACCUCAAUGGUGUAGUUUGUAAUGAUGUAAUAUACCCCAAUUCAAGAUGGUGGACGCAUGAAUGUUUGAGGCACAAGUGGGCUAACUUGCAAGCCACCGAAUUGAAUAGAACCAAAUCUGGAACAGUUGUACGAAUACGAAUAAGACAAAUAUUUAUAUACCGCUUUUCAACCAAAGUUCCCAAAGCGGUUUACAUACAGAAAUUAAUUGUUGUAGGGACACCUCAAGGGCGUAGAUUGUGGUGAUGUCAUCCACCCCAUUUAAGAUGACAGAUGCAUGUAUGUCUGUGUUAUAACUGGGCUAACUUAUAAACAGUUUCUAAUGAUGUCAUCCAUCCCAGUUCAAGGUGGCAGAUGCAUUACACGUGUGAACGUUACACACACAAGAGGGCUAACUUGUAAAUCACCUAACCUAUUUGAACCAAAUUGGCUACAGCUUUAGGUACACUUCAACGCCAUAGUUUGUGAUGAUGUCAUCCACUCCAAUUCAAGAUGAUGGGCAUGUGAACAUUUGAGGUGUAAGUGAGAACUGAUGUGCACCAAAUUUGAUACAGUUGUAGGCACAUAUAAGGACACCUCAACGGCAUAGUUUAUAAAAAUGUAAUCCACCCCAAUUCAAAAUGGCGGUGUAUAGACGUUUAAGGCUGAAGUGAGCUAAUUUAUGAGGAUGGUAAUUAUCAAUUAAGAUUAUAGUGAAAGGAAAGUAGGCAGAUUAGUUCUUACCAGAACUUGUUUUCCUUCUGCAGCAAAUAAGUGUUUAGAGAACAGGUGGAGAAAGACUUGACUCAAAUCUGACAGAAUACAGCACAGAGCGCAUAUGAAUAUCUAUGCUCAGGCAAUGCAUGCAGCAAAGAAGCAGUUCCUUUCUGCACGCAUUGCAUCCACAAGCUCACAUCCAGCAGAGUUGUCCAUGGUUGUGAGGGGACUAGAAUGUGCCCCUCCUCCCUUGAAUUGGGAUUUAAAGCCAUCAGUGACUCACUGUGACACAUUUAAUGAAUGGUUUUGGAUAAAAUCUCUCAGAUUCAAGCUGAACUGGAUCCCACAGUUAUUGCAGAGUCUAUUGUGGAGGUGUCCAGCAACUCCUCUUGUAUGGUUAGGUUAGAUCAGUUUUAGUUGGUGACUUCAGAGGACAUGGACAAGCUGCUUGGAGAAAUUCGCCUUACCAUCUGUUCUCUUGACCCUUACCCUACAUGGCCUAUACAAUCAAGCAGGGAAGUUAUUUGUCUCCAAUCUUCCUUGGUUGGGCAAGGUGAUUGAGAGGGUGGUGGCUUCUCAACUCCAAUGAGUCUUGGAAGAAGCAGAUUAUUUGGACCCAUUUCAAACUGGCUUUCAGAUGAGUUAUGGGGUGGAGACUGCCUUGGCCAGCCUGAUUGGUCUCCAAUUAAGGUUUGACAGUGUGUGUGUGACCCUGUUGGUCCUCUUGGACCUCUUGGUGGCUUUUGAUAUGAUCGACCAUGGUAUCCUUCUGGACCGCCUGAGGGUGUUGUAAGCAUGAGGCACUGCUUUGCAGUGGUUCCACUCCUCCAUCUCAGGUAGAUUCCAGAUGGUGUUGCUUGGAGAUAGUUGCUCUUUAAAGCAGGAGCGGUUGUAUGGAGUUCCAUAGGGCUUCCAAUAGUUUUUGACAUCUAUGUGAAACCCCUGGGAGCGAUCAUGAGAUUUGGUGCUGGGUGCUAUCAAUAUGCUGAUGACACCCAGAUCUAUUUUUCCAUAUCAGCUUAGUCAGGAGAUGGCUUAACCAAUCUAAGUGCGUGAUUAGAAUCGGUAAUGGGCUGGAUGAGGAAGAACAAACUGAAGUUGAAUCCAAAGAUGGAGGUUCUUGUGGGAGGCCAGAAUUUAGGAAGUGGUUUAGAUCUGCCUGUUCUGGAUGGGGUUACAACUCCCCUGAAAGAGCUGGUAUGUAGUUUGGGAGUACUUUGGGACCCAAACCUCUCCCUGAUAUCUCAGUUUGAGGCAGUGGCUAGAAAUGCUUUUUAUCAUUUCUAAUAUAAUGAUACGCCAUCUAAGUCCAUUUCUCGAGACAAAUGACCUUCAAACAGUGGUGCCUAUGCUGGUAACAUCCAGGCUUGACUAUUGCAAUGUGCCCUACAUUGUAGGAUUCCUUUGUACAUAUAUUAAGAUCAUUGGGGGAGGUCCAGUACUGCUCACUUGGUGGCAAUUCAGAAACAGGCCUUCUCUAUGGUUGCCCUGAGGCUCCUUAAGACACUCUCAAAUAAAAUCAGGGUCUUCCCAUAUCUGGCUGUUUUUAAAUAACUUUUUUGGGGGAAACACCUCUUUUAUCAGGCUUUUUAGUGUAUGAUGUUUUAAAAUUUUAUUUAUGGCCAUUUUAAUCUGUUUAUAUGAUUUUUAGGUUUUAGUUGUUUGAUUGGAUUGUAAACCACCUUGAGAUUUUAUAUAGAGUGGUAUAUAUAGUUUUACCCUGGUGGCGCAGUGGUAAAACUGCCGCCCUGUAACCAGAAGGUUACAAGUUCGAUCCUGACCAGGGGCUCAAGGUUGACUCAGCCUUCCAUCCUUCCGAGGUCGGUAAAAUGAGUACCCAGAAUGUUGGGGGCAAUAUGCUAAAAAUCAUUGUAAACCGCUUAGAGAGCUUCGGCUAUAGAGCGGUAUAUAAAUGUAAGUGCUAUUGCUAUUGCUAAGUGCUAAUAAGCAAAUACAUAAAUAAAAAUAGUAGCAGCAUCAGAGUGUAUGAUUUAAACUGGGGAAAUUGUGUGGGCAGAAAUAAUUUGCCUCCCUCUCCCACCAGCUUGGCUGCUUUUAGUGAAAGUAAAAUAUACCAGAUCUCUUCAUAAUGGAUCAGUGUUGUUUGGUCGUAAGAUCCCAGGUGUCAGUGCAUUUCUCCACAUAUGCCUCCAAUUUCAUGUGCUGAAACGGUGAGGUAUAUCCUCUCUCAAAUCAUCUUGAC
Hemicordylus capensis (graceful crag lizard) is the source of this 7350-nucleotide long non-coding RNA. RefSeq lists it as uncharacterized. The transcript is spliced from 3 exons. The record is from RefSeq and is a predicted model, not a curated record. Lineage: Eukaryota; Metazoa; Chordata; Lepidosauria; Squamata; Cordylidae.